GUGUGUGUUGUAAACAUUUCUGCUGUGGACAUGAACCCUAGACAUUGAAGAUUGACUUUAAACUAUAAAAAAUAGUAAUGUGAAUAAAUGUAUGCUUUUGAAUAAACGUAUCAUGUGAUAUUUAUAUGUGAUAUUUAUAUGUGAUUUUAUGACAUAAAAUAUUUCUUUAAAU
Long non-coding RNA from Gigantopelta aegis, 172 nucleotides. RefSeq lists it as uncharacterized. NCBI's taxonomy places the organism in Eukaryota, Metazoa, Mollusca, Gastropoda, Neomphalida, Peltospiridae. The record is from RefSeq and is a predicted model, not a curated record. The transcript has 3 exons.